Pseudomonas fluorescens HK44 is the source of this 88-nucleotide non-coding RNA. The record is from Rfam. NCBI's taxonomy places the organism in Bacteria, Pseudomonadati, Pseudomonadota, Gammaproteobacteria, Pseudomonadales, Pseudomonadaceae.
AUUUAUGGUGGCUGUGUGCGGGAGACCUUCGGGUCUGCCGAGGGCCUAACAACUCGGUCUUGCAGACCUGCAUACAGCUGCCACCCAU